Molecule: long non-coding RNA, 385 nt
Organism: Onthophagus taurus
Lineage: Eukaryota; Metazoa; Arthropoda; Insecta; Coleoptera; Scarabaeidae
Source: RefSeq, a predicted model, not a curated record
UCUCAAUUACGAUUCUUCACCUUUUUGUGCUUUGCAAGUGCUAUCUUGGUAUUACAAGUAAACUCAUUAAAAUUUAUGAAUCUUGGAAGAUGUAAAAAAGGAGAAGUUUACGAAAAUUGCCCCAAAAUAUGUCGACCAACCUGCAAAUAUGGAACCUACGCGAAUUCAACUGCGAUAUGUGCUGAAACACAUGAGUGUAUACCAAGUUGUAUUUGCAAAUUAGGGUAUAUUUUAGAUCCGCAAUCGAAAGAAUGUUGGUCUUUAGUUUAUUGUUGGUUUAAACAGGGAAGGAUUAGAAUGAAUCAGAUUUUUGGUAACAAAUAAGUUUACAAUAACAUUUUUAAUCUUGUAUAUGUAUUUUAUUGAAAUAAAUUUUUAUUUUUAA